GGACUGGUCCACAAGAUUGAAGUCGUUCAACGAGCAACGGAACGGACUAUGCUUGGAGUUUCUCUCAGAGACAGGAUUAGAAAUGAGACUAUCUGCGAGAAAACGAAAGUAUCUGACAUAGCCCACAGAAUUAGCAAGUUGAAGUGGCAGUGGGUUGGUCACCUAUGUCGCAGGACCGAUGGCCGAUGGAGCAGACGUGUCCUGGAGUGGAUACCGCGUCUUGGCAAACGCAAGAAUAUCAUACUCUAUUGUCUAAGACAAUGACUGAAGUGUCAACCCUGACUGGCUCUCCGAGAUUGUGA
RNAcentral lists this unclassified non-coding RNA (302 nucleotides) under Melitaea cinxia (Glanville fritillary). RNAcentral's name for it is "misc RNA ENSMCXG00005011171.1". The record is from RNAcentral. Lineage: Eukaryota; Metazoa; Arthropoda; Insecta; Lepidoptera; Nymphalidae.